GGGGAAUAUUGCACAAUGGAGGGAACUCUGAUGCAGCGACGCCGCGUGAGUGAAGAAGGUCUUCGGAUCGUAAAACUCUGUCCUUGGUGAAGAUAAUGACGGUAACCAAGGAGGAAGCCCCGGCUAACUACGUGCCAGCAGCCGCGGUAAUACGUAGGGGGCGAGCGUUGUCCGGAAUUACUGGGCGUAAAGGGUGAGUAGGCGGUUGUAUAUGUCAGGUGUAAAAGGCGUGGGCUCAACCCACGUUAGCACUUGAAACUGUACAACUUGAGUGCAGGAGAGGUAAGCGGAAUUCCUAGUGUAGCGGUGAAAUGCGUAGAUAUUAGGAGGAACACCGGUGGCGAAGGCGGCUUACUGGACUGUAACUGACGCUGAGUCACGAAAGCGUGGGUAGCAAAC
This 399-nucleotide ribosomal RNA is filed under the name uncultured bacterium. RNAcentral's name for it is "bacterial SSU rRNA". It matches the Rfam family "Bacterial small subunit ribosomal RNA", at positions 356 to 773 of the family's 1533-position model. The record is from RNAcentral.